CGGCUAACUACGUGCCAGCAGCCGCGGUAAUACGUAGGUGGCAAGCGUUAUCCGGAAUUAUUGGGCGUAAAGCGCGCGCAGGUGGUUUCUUAAGUCUGAUGUGAAAGCCCACGGCUCAACCGUGGAGGGUCAUUGGAAACUGGGAGACUUGAGUGCAGAAGAGGAAAGUGGAAUUCCAUGUGUAGCGGUGAAAUGCGUAGAGAUAUGGAGGAACACCAGUGGCGAAGGCGACUUUCUGGUCUGUAACUGACACUGAGGCGCGAAAGCGUGGGGAGCAAACAGGAUUAGAUCUGUCUCUUAUACAC
Molecule: ribosomal RNA, 305 nt
Filed under: Bacillus sp. (in: firmicutes)
Lineage: Bacteria; Bacillati; Bacillota; Bacilli; Caryophanales; Bacillaceae
Description: bacterial SSU rRNA
Rfam family: Bacterial small subunit ribosomal RNA
Source: RNAcentral